Molecule: RNA transcript, 1199 nt
Organism: Neltuma alba
Lineage: Eukaryota; Viridiplantae; Streptophyta; Magnoliopsida; Fabales; Fabaceae
Exons: 3
Source: RefSeq, a predicted model, not a curated record
GAAGGACAUUUAUCUCGCCCUCUCUCGCUCAGUCACCCUCUACUCCUGUACCCGGCAUUACGCCACGUGUCAUUCGCUGGCGACGCGCAUCACGCGUACCCGUCUGUCCUUCACUCGCUCUGUGCCAGGACUGUAAUGUGAAUUUCCCUUCCCUUCCCCGCCGUUCACUUUCACCCUCCCUUUUCCUCCUCAUCCUUUGCAGACUCUCGGGUUUCUCUAGGUUCUUCUUCCGAUUCUAAUAAUGCUCUGCUCCGCUCCGGCACAAAAGUCCGGUUUAAACUGGCUCGACCGGCUCCGCCAUAACAAGGGCAUCCCGACAGGCGACGAUGUCGACCUCGAUUCUUUUCUCGCCAACCAUCCAAACCCUACAUCCUCCGAUUCAUUCCAGUCCAUCUCCGAACCCACGCACUCGUCAAAAAAUCGGACUCGGGGUUCCGAGAUCUCCGCCGCCGAUGUCCGCCCCCCAUUGAGCAGCGUACUUGCUGAGCUCUUCAACAUGGGCGGUCGCCUCAGCUCCGGGAAGAAGUGUCCCAGGAAGCAGACAAACCCCAAAUUCUUCUUCGCCUCUUCGCUGAGGAACACUGGUAUCGUCGACUGUGCGCGAAAAGACGACAAUGUCCCUGCUCCGAAUUCAUUCAACAACGAUACGGCGAAGCGGCAAGAGGAAGGUUUGGAUUGUUGCGAUGUGGAGGAGGAGAAAGAAAAUGAUGGUAACGAGUUGAGAGGGUUUUCCAAAUCUGAGGUGACGAUGAUCGAUACGAGUUGCCCGGGGUGGAAGGCUGAGAAGUUUGUCUUUCGAAAAGGUAAUGUGUGGAAAGUCAGAGAGAGGAAAGGGAAAUCGAAGUCUUUUUCCAAGAAGAAGAACAAAGGGACUCUUGGGUUUGUUAAUCAUGAUAGCGCUGGUGCGAAGAAGGAACCCAAGUUUAUGGAGUAUCAGUUUGGAUCGAAUAGGGAGGAGAGUUUAUAACUCCGUCCACCUAACAGUUUGGUCGCUUUGUCAUUCUGGGGUUCUGUCAGUGAGCUUAGAUAGACACUUCGGUGUGUGUUUGGUGACUUCAGGAUCUGAGGAAAUGCUGGAAUUGAUUAGGGUGAGAUAGCGGGCAAGUGCCUAAGGAUGUUCGUUUUUCUUCUGCUUUCAUAUGGGGGAACAGGAUGCUCAGCACGAGGGGAAAAGUCGGCGAAGACACAAGAUGAUCCGA